AACGAACGCUGGCGGCGUGGAUAAGACAUGCAAGUCGAACGAGGAAUUUCGCCGAAGCUUGCUUCAUUGAAAUUCCUAGUGGCGGACGGGUGCGUAACACGUGAGCAACCUGCCCUGAAGAGUGGGAUAGCCUGAGGAAACUCGGAUUAAUACCACAUGUGAUCGUCUCAAGCAUUUGAGAUUGCUUAAAGGUGGCCUUUGUGCUGCCGCUUCAGGAUGGGCUCGCGGUUUAUCAGCUUGAUGGUGAGGUAAAGGCUCACCAUGGCUACGACGAAUAACUGAUCUGAGAGGAUGAUCAGUCACACUGGAACUGAGACACGGUCCAGACACCUACGGGUGGCAGCAGUCGAGAAUCAUUCGCAAUGGGCGAAAGCCUGACGGUGCGACGCCGCGUGGAGGAUGACGGCCCUCGGGUUGUAAACUCCUGUCAUCAGAGAGUAAGACUGCGGGUAGUAACUGACUCGCAGGUUGAUAGUAUCUGAAGAGGAAGAGACGGCUAACUCUGUGCCAGCCGCCGCCGUAACAC
Molecule: ribosomal RNA, 526 nt
Filed under: uncultured bacterium
Lineage: Bacteria
Description: bacterial SSU rRNA
Rfam family: Bacterial small subunit ribosomal RNA
Source: RNAcentral